GUACUUUAAACAAAUUAUUAUUAAAAAAAAAUACAUACAAAAUUACAAAAAAUAGUAUUGUCUUUUUCAAAACGAAUAAUUAGUGUUUAGCCCUUUCACCGAUGAGUCCCGGUUUACUUUUUUGACAUAAAAUGUCAUUUUAUGAACAAAACACUUGGAAUGGACAUAGUUCAGUGUGAGGAAUUUGUACACUGCCUCAUAAAAUUUUUCAAAAUUUUGCUGUUUUGGGUUAAAAAAUUAUGAUCUGGGGUCAAAGAGCAGAAUUUUGAGAAUUUCACCUAGAUAAUGCCGAAAAUUUGAAUAUUUUAUGAAGAAAAAAUUAUCAAAACAUGAACAAAACUGUGAACAUGGUGUUAGUGAAUGAAAUAAAUACACAAAUAACUACAAACAAGUUUUUAUUGACAUUUAUUAUGAAGAUCUCCCACUGGAGUAAUAGUAGCCAGGGAAGCCAUCGUCUCAGAGUAGCUUCUGUCUGGGCAGCAAUCGGUGAAAGGAUUAGUCAAGCAAUUAUGAAAAGGAAAAUAACUGUUUAAGAGAGUUUUUUUUGUUUGGCAAAUAAUAUUUUACUUUUAUUCACCAGACUUUACAUGAUGGUAAAUUUUCAAAUCUGACCAUAUGAAUGGAGCUGCUCCCUACUACCCAGAAAAUUUUCACCUAUGCUUUUCAUUACUCAUUCUCACUUUUUUAUAAAAAAAAUAUAUAAAUAACCUUACAAAGAUUUUUAUAAAUAAAUUUGGUCAAUUAUUUCUGGAUUUACAAUUAUUUGAAUGUGAAAAAAGACAUAUCAAGUUAACCUUACCUCAGAAAGCUCUAAUAUUCAAAUUCUUUUACUAUACUGCCACUGAAAAUCUUUAAAUAUAUUGAUAUCUUUGUUUUGGUUUUUUGAAUGUGUGCCUAUUAUAGUAUAUAGUAAUAAUACCAUAAGUAUAUAUGUUUUUUUUUUCUUGGCAAACAAAAGUUUCAUCAACAGCAGUUUGUUAGAUGUUGUAGCAUAUAACUCAUAAUGUUAUAAGUUUCUUUUUUCUUCUCUUUUGAGGAUCUACAUGUAUAAAAAUUUAUGAAUUAUUGUUUGAAUAUUUUCUACUUCUAAGCUACUUCAGAGGAUUUU
This 1108-nucleotide long non-coding RNA is filed under the name Mytilus galloprovincialis (Mediterranean mussel). Lineage: Eukaryota; Metazoa; Mollusca; Bivalvia; Mytilida; Mytilidae. The record is from RNAcentral.